AUCUUUCUAGUAUAGCAUUAGUAUUCGUGACUUCCAAUCACUCGGUCUUGGUGAAAAUCCAAGGAAAGAUA
RNAcentral lists this transfer RNA (71 nucleotides) under Parupeneus barberinus (dash-and-dot goatfish). RNAcentral describes it as "tRNA-Gly". It matches the Rfam family "tRNA". Rfam says of the family: Transfer RNA (tRNA) molecules are approximately 80 nucleotides in length. Their secondary structure includes four short double-helical elements and three loops (D, anti-codon, and T loops). Further hydrogen bonds mediate the characteristic L-shaped molecular structure. tRNAs have two regions of fundamental functional importance: the anti-codon, which is responsible for specific mRNA codon recognition, and the 3' end, to which the tRNAs corresponding amino acid is attached (by aminoacyl-tRNA synthetases). tRNAs cope with the degeneracy of the genetic code in two manners: having more than one tRNA (with a specific anti-codon) for a particular amino acid; and 'wobble' base-pairing, i.e. permitting non-standard base-pairing at the 3rd anti-codon position. The record is from RNAcentral. Lineage: Eukaryota; Metazoa; Chordata; Actinopteri; Syngnathiformes; Mullidae.